Molecule: ribosomal RNA, 385 nt
Filed under: uncultured bolidophyte
Lineage: Eukaryota; Bolidophyceae
Description: SSU rRNA
Rfam family: Eukaryotic small subunit ribosomal RNA
Source: RNAcentral
AGCUCCAAUAGCGUAUAUUAAAGUUGUUGCAGUUAAAAAGCUCGUAGUUGGAUUUCUGGUGGGAGCGUUGGGUCGGCCCUAAGGGCUCGUACUCAAAUGUUUUCCGCCAUCCUUGGAGGGAUGUUGUCUGGCAUUAAGUUGUCGGGCUUCCGAUCUCCAUCGUUUACUGUGAAAAAAUUAGAGUGUUCAAAGCAGGCUUACGCCGUUGAAUACAUUAGCAUGGAAUAAUAAGAUAGGACCCUGGUACUAUUUUGUUGGUUUGCGUACCUAGGUAAUGAUUAAUAGGGACAGUUGGGGGUAUUCGUAUUCCGUUGUCAGAGGUGAAAUUCUUGGAUUUACGGAAGACGAACUACUGCGAAAGCAUUUACCAAGGAUGUUUUCAUUA